Molecule: long non-coding RNA, 129 nt
Organism: Coregonus clupeaformis (lake whitefish)
Lineage: Eukaryota; Metazoa; Chordata; Actinopteri; Salmoniformes; Salmonidae
Exons: 2
Source: RefSeq, a predicted model, not a curated record
UCUAUCUCUAUAUAGGGACGGCUCACCUGCUCUGCUCACGGGCAAAGUCAUCCAACUGGAAGAGAUCCUCAGACAGCUUCAGUUCGACCUACGAAAGGAGCAAGAGGACAAGGCCAUGUUGCAGGAGCA